AGUGGCGGACGGGUGAGUAACGCGUGGGUAACCUGCCUCAUACAGGGGGAUAACAGUUAGAAAUGGCUGCUAAUACCGCAUAAGACCACGGAGCCGCAUGGCUCAGUGGGAAAAACUCCGGUGGUAUGAGAUGGACCCGCGUCUGAUUAGGUAGUUGGUGGGGUAACGGCCUACCAAGCCACGAUCAGUAGCCGACCUGAGAGGGUGACCGGCCACAUUGGGACUGAGACACGGCCCAA
RNAcentral lists this ribosomal RNA (239 nucleotides) under uncultured bacterium. RNAcentral's name for it is "partial 16S ribosomal RNA". It matches the Rfam family "Bacterial small subunit ribosomal RNA", at positions 94 to 334 of the family's 1533-position model. The record is from RNAcentral.